UCGGCGCGCGCCACCCGCGAGUGCUGCGCCUCAGCGCUGGUCUGGCUGGCGCGCGCUACUGCCUCCGGGGUGGCGGGGCCUGCGAGCAACCAAGAAAAUGACUCUCUUUUGAAUGGGAGAUGCCUCACCCUGGUAGAUACAACCCAAUCUCCAGCAAGGGGAAGGGGGCAAUCUGAAACCAAUGAGAAAUAGACAAGCUGGUAUUUCUGCAUAAAGCCAAAGGUGUAUCAGAUGAUUUAUUGUACCUUACUGUGUACAGCCAUUGGAGAGCUGGGCAAGGACAAGACCUAUCAGACUGCUGGAGAAGGUCAUCGAGAGACUGUGACAAAUGACUGUCCUGCAAGCCAGACCAAGACAAUCAAAGGCUCCUCACCUCUUCCUCUGUCCUUGGAAUGUAUGUUCUGACCAUUGUUCCCACAGAAAGGGAGCCAUUUUCAAGAAGGCAGCUUUAAGAGAGUAAGAUGUUGAAACCAGCUGGACUGAAUAUGUGACUGAACUUCAGGCCGCUAUGUAAACUUUUAAGAUCCUGGUGGUCAGGUGCUCAGAUCUACUCAUUUUAUGCCCACCAAAAUCAAGGCUUGUAAGUUUGUUCCCUUGCUUAUUAAGCCUGCUGCCUACCAAUCUGGGGUGGUCUGUCUCUUUCUUUGGUCUGCCUUACACUCUUGAGUAUGAAGGCCAGGUUCAGCUUUCACCGGAAAAAUCCCCAAGUUUCCAAACUAAUAUAUACAUCAGGCCUUACUGUCACCCAGAUUCUAUUCCUUUAAGAACUUUGGUAACAAUCAGCCAUAAAUUUAUGAAAAUAAUUAUCACUAGGUCACAGAGGAGACAACAUAGCCAUGGAUUCAAUAAAUUUUGUAAUAAUCUUUAUUGUACAAUACACUAAAGUGGUAUAAGUCAACCAUGUUACAAACCAUAAACUACAUAUUUCACAAAUGACAGCUGCUCCAGGAUUCAACAAUACAUUUUUAAGCACAGUGUAAUUUGUAAAAAUAUGAUGACCUAGUUAUACAGGCUAUCUUGUGUAACCAAAUAUGUUUUGAAAUAAAUUAGAUUUCUCUUUAAUUAUUUAGUUAGGUCAGACCAAUGAAUUGGAAGUGCAUUAAAAUGAAUGAAAUGCUGCUAUAUACAACAUGGAUGAAUCUUACAAAUGUGCUAAAAAACCUUACACAGGAGUUAUUGCUUUUUGGAUUUAUCAAUAUGGAUUUCAAAAAUAGG
Molecule: long non-coding RNA, 1215 nt
Organism: Artibeus jamaicensis (Jamaican fruit-eating bat)
Lineage: Eukaryota; Metazoa; Chordata; Mammalia; Chiroptera; Phyllostomidae
Exons: 3
Source: RefSeq, a predicted model, not a curated record